RNAcentral lists this non-coding RNA (240 nucleotides) under Clostridium sp. RNAcentral describes it as "T-box sequence". It matches the Rfam family "T-box leader". From Rfam's summary of the family: Uncharged tRNA acts as the effector for transcription antitermination of genes in the T-box leader family. T-boxes are found upstream of many aminoacyl-tRNA synthetase genes and some amino acid biosynthetic genes usually in Gram-positive bacteria. The record is from RNAcentral. Lineage: Bacteria; Bacillati; Bacillota; Clostridia; Eubacteriales; Clostridiaceae.
AUAAAAACUUUGAAGAGAAGAGUAGCUAUAAGUGUGGAUUUAAAGAGAGCCAAUGUUUUGGUGGAAAUUGGUAUGAAACCUAUAGUGAAGAACAUCUCUGAGUUUCUAACCGAACCAUUUUUGCAGUAGGCUUAGACGUGUCCAAUACGUUAUAAAUUGGAAAGUAUCAUAUGUACUUUAAAGUUGGCUUUAUUUAAAGCAAUUUGGGUGGCACCGCGGAUAUAAACUUUCGUCCCAUUA